AUUGUCCAGGAGUUAAGCCAUAUGUUGUAAGUGGAAACAAAUGGUGGAAGCUAAGAUUGUGAUCACUCUCAUGUGGGGAUCAUUUUCCACAUCCUCUCUCUCUCUCUCUCUGACAUUAUCUCUCUCCUUUUCUCUAACCAACACCGUAUAAACAUUAAUUUAAACUCUCUCCCCCUUUCUAAAAGAUCAAACAUGGUGUUUUAUAUGAACAACACCAUGAACACCAUGAAGGUGUUCAUGAGCAAUUUCCCAAAUUUCUCAAAUUCACUCCAAAACCAAAAUUGAUUAACGCACACUCUACAUAGUUUCUCUCCCUCGUUAUGAAUCCAACAACCAAAAUCCCAAAUAAUCAAACCUAAGCCCGGAUCAGGCUCACCCCCACUUGAACCGUAAACCCCAAAUUCAACAUUAUUUAGCCAAAUUACAACAACUUACAACCAUUAAAUGUGUAACAGUGGUAAAACGACAAGUAACAGAAAGGAUAGCAAAGCAAAGGGAAAAGGAAGAAAAAGGCCCCGUCAGAGUCUGAAACUCUGGCGAGAACUCCGGAACAUGCAUGAAGUCUUUGAAGAUUAAAUUCUUUCUGGAGGUGAAGUUCAGCUCAUCAUCUCCAAUUCUAGCAACAUUAGUGGUGUGAGUGUCUUCUAACAAAACUCUCUUAUCUUCAACAUUUGUGUAUGUUUUAAACAUAGCACGAUCAUAGCAGACAUGACGAGAGGCGCCAAUGUCUAUCCGCCAACCAUGUUGAUUUUAUUGAUCAUAGCAAUGAAUUUCUCGUCAGUCAUGUUAACUGGUGCACUAGAGUCAACAACAUGUUUAUGCAUGCUCUUACAUCUCUUAGCCAUAUAGUGAAAACAAGAGUGUCAUUUCUUUGAGGUGGUGGAUUCUACAUAGAAAUUAUAGUAAUUGGAGCAAUCGGGACCUAGGAGGUUCUUAGUUCGGAUCACAACAUUGUGGUUCUGAUUCUUAAGUGGGUUUUCAGAUAGCUUCAGAAUUGUACCAAAUUUCUUUUUGUUGUUAGAAACAACCAAGAUUUCAUCUUUCUGAUCUUAUCUCUGAGAUUCUUAUUCAACUCAGAGGUGAGUUAUUAGACUUUCAAUUGAAACUUUUAAUUUAUGGCGAAGCAAAUUUUUAAAAUCUUUCCAACCAUGGGGCAGUUUGUCAAUGUAACAAUAAUCUAAAAUUAUUCAUCUAGGGACAUACCUUCAGUAA
Lathyrus oleraceus (garden pea) is the source of this 1212-nucleotide long non-coding RNA. RefSeq lists it as uncharacterized. The record is from RefSeq and is a predicted model, not a curated record. The transcript has 2 exons. NCBI's taxonomy places the organism in Eukaryota, Viridiplantae, Streptophyta, Magnoliopsida, Fabales, Fabaceae.